Molecule: long non-coding RNA, 2056 nt
Organism: Callithrix jacchus (white-tufted-ear marmoset)
Lineage: Eukaryota; Metazoa; Chordata; Mammalia; Primates; Cebidae
Source: RefSeq, a predicted model, not a curated record
GGGACCUGCAGAGAGACCCAGGAGUUGUGAUGCCAUCGGCAGGGUGGGGAGCUCAGUGACCUCCCCACGGGAUGGCUGUGCCCAUACUCAUGACCCUCUCACCUGCCACUUAAUCCACAGUCCACCUGGCUAAUGCUGUCAAGCCCUUAGCACUGAGUUAAGUAUCUGAUUAACCUCCAUUGCAGCCUCUGGUUUAGCGAUGAAUCAACUGAAGCCCAGAGAGAGCAUCACAUGGUUAGUAAAUGGCAUGGCUGGGAUGGAACUCACUUCUGCCAGACUCCAGAGCUCUUCCCUGAUGGUGAUGCAGAAUUUAUGAGGGGCCCUGUGCCAUGGCAGAGCACCUCACAGUCCCUGUGGGGAACUCCAGGCAGCCAGGGCUGUCAGGGUUUACACCCUGACUGAGAAUCCCCAUCCCUGAGCUUGGGAGUAACUAACGCCCACCCCUCUCCCGCCCUCGGGGUGCUGCUGACACACCAGUGGCAUCAGAGUCAGGACACUGGGUUCCAUGUGGAUUCUGAUGCCACCUUGCUGGGUAGCACUGGGGACUAAGACCCUGCCCUACCCAGGGAAGAGGAAGAUGGUUUUAUCUCCCCACCUCCAUCGUCUUUUCAUUGAGAGAUCCCUGCAAGGGGGUGUCAUCCACUCAGCAAACACAAGUCAACGACUCAGGAUUGGUACAUGACAAGAAAGGUUGGGAAGCACCUUUCUUGAAGGCCUGGAUUUAACCCAGAGAGCCCCAAGUGAGGGGGCCAGGUGACCUCCCGUCCAGGACAGCCUGAAGCAAGAGGACACCUCCUCCUUCACAAUUCCAAAGGUGAUGCUACUUGACGGUGAAUUAUGACCUGCAUGUGGGUGUUGCUGUAUGUGGUGGCAGCUCAGGCCUCCAGAUGAGCAGAGUGGCAAGACGUCUCAGGAAAGUCCAGCAUGCGGUGCAGCCUGAAGUUGUUACAUAGCUCCAAAGCUGUCACCAUGUUCUGUCCUGGGCACAUCCUCCCCCAGGGCCACCCUCUGCCACGGGGGUACUCAAGGGUAAGGCACCAAACCCUUCCCUGCUCCACCUUUCUCUUUGCUAUGUGCACACCCACAUAUGUGUGCAUGUGUGCACACGGACAACCAGGACAGAUUAACACAUGUUGGCAAAGAAGAACAACAGUGGGCACUGACUACUAAAAAAUAUUUUUCUAUUUACAUAAUCCCAAAAGUAGGGGGGAAAUAUUUUGUGAACUCAGAAGGGACAAACAAGCUCAAUGUGGUUCUAGAGCCUCAAAAAGCCAGCCUAGCACCCCGUGAGCUGUGAUGAUCACAGAAACACAACACAGCCACCCUAGGAACUGUCGACAGGGACCCCAGUCCUGCCCUUCCUCAUGUGUUGCGUGGAGCUCCACCCUGCAAAGCAAACUUCAGGCCCUCAGAUUUAGGCUUUCUGUGCCCAGAGAAUACCAAGAUUGCUCAUUUGAGAGAGCCAAAGGGAUGUCACCUGGAGAGGCCUCUGCAGCCUCUCCUGCUGCUCAUCUCUCCCUGCACCCCUGCACAUCUGUGCUGGCCACACAGACACAGGGGUUCCUGUUACGUAGACUGACCUCAAUAGAGGCAAACCCAACUGCAUCCAAGUGGAGCCUGCACCAAUGUGUGUGUGUUUUUGGCAUGUGCUGUCACCAAAAACCCUGGGAAACACUCAUCAUGUAUGUCCUGAAUGAGGAAACACAUGUGCGCAUGCUUAUAGAAAAGUGGGAAUAUGUGCAUGAGCAUGGGUGUGGGUGCAUGAGCAUAUUCUGAGUGUGUGUGAGUGUGUGAGUAUGACCAUGUGAGAGCACGUCAGGGAGUAUGUCUAUGCCUGUGUAUGAGCAUGUCAGGGAGUGUGUGAGUAUGACUGUGUGUGAGCAUGUUAGGGAGUGUGUGUGAGCAUGACAGGGAGUGUGUAUGACCGUGUAUGAGCAUGUCAGGGAAUGUGUGUGUAUGACAGUGUGUAUGUCAGGGAGUGUGGGUAUGAUCAUGUGUGAGCAUGUCACGGAGUGUCUGUGUGUAUGACUGUGUGUGAUCAUGUCAAAGAGUGUGU